RNAcentral lists this ribosomal RNA (255 nucleotides) under Escherichia coli. Its description in RNAcentral is "partial 16S ribosomal RNA". It matches the Rfam family "Bacterial small subunit ribosomal RNA", at positions 582 to 836 of the family's 1533-position model. The record is from RNAcentral. RNAcentral also lists the same sequence under 1 other name. Lineage: Bacteria; Pseudomonadati; Pseudomonadota; Gammaproteobacteria; Enterobacterales; Enterobacteriaceae.
GUUAAGUCAGAUGUGAAAUCCCCGGGCUCAACCUGGGAACUGCAUCUGAUACUGGCAAGCUUGAGUCUCGUAGAGGGGGGUAGAAUUCCAGGUGUAGCGGUGAAAUGCGUAGAGAUCUGGAGGAAUACCGGUGGCGAAGGCGGCCCCCUGGACGAAGACUGACGCUCAGGUGCGAAAGCGUGGGGAGCAAACAGGAUUAGAUACCCUGGUAGUCCACGCCGUAAACGAUGUCGACUUGGAGGUUGUGCCCUUGAG